Molecule: ribosomal RNA, 422 nt
Filed under: uncultured Mucilaginibacter sp.
Lineage: Bacteria; Pseudomonadati; Bacteroidota; Sphingobacteriia; Sphingobacteriales; Sphingobacteriaceae
Description: bacterial SSU rRNA
Rfam family: Bacterial small subunit ribosomal RNA
Source: RNAcentral
UAAGGAAUAUUGGUCAAUGGACGGAAGUCUGAACCAGCCAUGCCGCGUGCAGGAAGACGGCCCUACGGGUUGUAAACUGCUUUUGCAGGGGAAUAAACCCCGAUACGUGUAUCGGGUUGAAUGUACUCUGAGAAUAAGGAUCGGCUAACUCCGUGCCAGCAGCCGCGGUAAUACGGAGGAUCCAAGCGUUAUCCGGAUUUAUUGGGUUUAAAGGGUGCGUAGGUGGCCUGUUAAGUCAGGGGUGAAAGACGGUAGCUUAACUAUCGCAGUGCCCUUGAUACUGAUGGGCUUGAAUGAACUAGAGGUAGGCGGAAUGUGACAAGUAGCGGUGAAAUGCAUAGAUAUGUCACAGAACACCAAUUGCGAAGGCAGCUUACUAUGGUUUUAUUGACACUGAGGCACGAAAGCGUGGGGAUCAAACA